CACCAAAACCCUGCAGCCGGGAUUAAGCCUUGUUGUACCGUUUAUGGACAGAAUUGGCCGCAAGAUCAAUAUGAUGGAGCAAGUGCUGGAUAUUCCGUCGCAGGAGGUGAUCUCAAAAGAUAACGCCAACGUCACUAUCGAUGCGGUCUGUUUUAUUCAGGUUAUCGAUGCGCCGCGCGCCGCCUAUGAAGUCAGUAAUCUGGAACUGGCGAUCAUUAACCUGACCAUGACCAAUAUCCGUACGGUGCUCGGUUCGAUGGAGCUGGAUGAAAUGCUCUCCCAGCGCGACAGCAUCAACACGCGGCUGCUACAUAU
This 315-nucleotide unclassified non-coding RNA is filed under the name uncultured fungus. Its description in RNAcentral is "partial internal transcribed spacer 1". Lineage: Eukaryota; Fungi. The record is from RNAcentral.